AGACCCGAAACCCGGUGAUCUAGCCAUGGGCAGGUUGAAGGUUGGGUAACACUAACUGGAGGACCGAACCGACUAAUGUUGAAAAAUUAGCGGAUGACCUGUGGCUGGGGGUGAAAGGCCAAUCAAACCGGGAGAUAGCUGGUUCUCCCCGAAAGCUAUUUAGGUAGCGCCUCGUGAAUUCAUCUCCGGGGGUAGAGCACUGUUUCGGCUAGGGGGCCAUCCCGGCUUACCAACCCGAUGCAAACUGCGAAUACCGGAGAAUGUUAUCACGGGAGACACACGGCGGGUGCUAACGUCCGUCGUGAAGAGGGAAACAACCCAGACCGCCAGCUAAGGUCCCAAAGUCAUGGUUAAGUGGGAAACGAUGUGGGAAGGCCCAGACAGCCAGGAUGUUGGCUUAGAAGCAGCCAUCAUUUAAAGAAAGCGUAAUAGCUCACUGGUCGAGUCGGCCUGCGCGGAAGAUGUAACGGGGCUAAACCAUGCACCGAAGCUGCGGCAGCGACGCUGAUGCGUUGUUGGGUAGGGGAGCGUUCUGUAAGCCUGUGAAGGUGUGUCGUGAGGCAUGCUGGAGGUAUCAGAAGUGCGAAUGCUGACAUAAGUAACGAUAAAGCGGGUGAAAAGCCCGCUCGCCGGAAGACCAAGGGUUCCUGUCCAACGUUAAUCGGGGCAGGGUGAGUCGACCCCUAAGGCGAGGCCGAAAGGCGUAGUCGAUGGGAAACGGGUUAAUAUUCCCGUACUUGGUGUUACUGCGAAGGGGGGACGGAGAAGGCUAUGUUGGCCGGGCGACGGUUGUCCCGGUUUAAGCGUGUAGGUGUGUGUUCCAGGUAAAUCCGGUUCACUUUAACACUGAGGCGUGAUGACGAGGCACUACGGUGCUGAAGCAACAAAUGCCCUGCUUCCAGGAAAAGCCUCUAAGCAUCAGGUAACAUCAAAUCGUACCCCAAACCGACACAGGUGGUCAGGUAGAGAAUACCAAGGCGCUUGAGAGAACUCGGGUGAAGGAACUAGGCAAAAUGGUGCCGUAACUUCGGGAGAAGGCACGCUGACACGUAGGUGAAGUGAUUUACUCACGGAGCUGAAGUCAGUCGAAGAUACCAGCUGGCUGCAACUGUUUAUUAAAAACACAGCACUGUGCAAACACGAAAGUGGACGUAUACGGUGUGACGCCUGCCCGGUGCCGGAAGGUUAAUUGAUGGGGUCAGCGCAAGCGAAGCUCCUGAUCGAAGCCCCGGUAAACGGCGGCCGUAACUAUAACGGUCCUAAGGUAGCGAAAUUCCUUGUCGGGUAAGUUCCGACCUGCACGAAUGGCGUAAUGAUGGCCAGGCUGUCUCCACCCGAGACUCAGUGAAAUUGAACUCGCUGUGAAGAUGCAGUGUACCCGCGGCAAGACGGAAAGACCCCGUGAACCUUUACUAUAGCUUGACACUGAACAUUGAGCCUUGAUGUGUAGGAUAGGUGGGAGGCUUUGAAGUGUGGACGCCAGUCUGCAUGGAGCCGACCUUGAAAUACCACCCUUUAAUGUUUGAUGUUCUAACGUGGACCCGUAAUCCGGGUUGCGGACAGUGUCUGGUGGGUAGUUUGACUGGGGCGGUCUCCUCCUAAAGAGUAACGGAGGAGCACGAAGGUUGGCUAAUCCUGGUCGGACAUCAGGAGGUUAGUGCAAUGGCAUAAGCCAGCUUGACUGCGAGCGUGACGGCGCGAGCAGGUGCGAAAGCAGGUCAUAGUGAUCCGGUGGUUCUGAAUGGAAGGGCCAUCGCUCAACGGAUAAAAGGUACUCCGGGGAUAACAGGCUGAUACCGCCCAAGAGUUCAUAUCGACGGCGGUGUUUGGCACCUCGAUGUCGGCUCAUCACAUCCUGGGGCUGAAGUAGGUCCCAAGGGUAUGGCUGUUCGCCAUUUAAAGUGGUACGCGAGCUGGGUUUAGAACGUCGUGAGACAGUUCGGUCCCUAUCUGCCGUGGGCGCUGGAGAACUGAGGGGGGCUGCUCCUAGUACGAGAGGACCGGAGUGGACGCAUCACUGGUGUUCGGGUUGUCAUGCCAAUGGCACUGCCCGGUAGCUAAAUGCGGAAGAGAUAAGUGCUGAAAGCAUCUAAGCACGAAACUUGCCCCGAGAUGAGUUCUCCCUGAGACUUUAAGUCUCCUGAAGGAACGUUGAAGACGACGACGUUGAUAGGCCGGGUGUGUAAGCGCAGCGAUGCGUUGAGCUAACCGGUACUAAUGAACCGUGAGGCUUAACCUUACA
RNAcentral lists this ribosomal RNA (2242 nucleotides) under Salmonella enterica. RNAcentral describes it as "partial 23S ribosomal RNA". It matches the Rfam family "Bacterial large subunit ribosomal RNA", at positions 711 to 2925 of the family's 2925-position model. Lineage: Bacteria; Pseudomonadati; Pseudomonadota; Gammaproteobacteria; Enterobacterales; Enterobacteriaceae. The record is from RNAcentral.